AUGGUGGGUCACAUUUCAUGUUUCUGUGCUCUUUCAUAUGAAGCAAUUUUUAAUUUAAAAUCUUAGGCUCUUGGAGUAUUCCACUGUUGUAUGGUUGAAUGAAAACUCUCAUUGACCUUGGGUAUAUUUAUUUAUUCUUGGUAUCAGACCUAGUAUAAGGAGGCACAAACCUGUUUGGUGUUCUUCUUUACUCACUCUGUACUUACUAAGCACCUACCUACCAUGUACAGGGUAACUGUUGUAGGUGCUAGAGAUGUUAUAUUUCAGGUUUGUCUACUCAGUUUUCUUUUUCUGGGUCACUUUGCAUCUUUAUUGCUGGGCUUCGUAAAAGACUAAUAAUAAUCCGCUUCAUCUGUAUAGUGCUUUACAGCUUACAGAGCACUUUUACAAAAAUUAUCUCAUGUGAUCCUCCCACAUAAACCUCAGUUAAGCACAUGGCGUGGGAAGCAUCAUGGCUGAGUGCAAAGAACCUGGACCAUGAAUACAGAUCAACUUGGGUACCCAUUUUAUAGCUGAAGAAGCUGAGCUUCUAAGUGUUUAGGGUCACAAACAGUUAUUCUUCUUACUAUUACCUGUAAGUAGUAAGCCAGUGUUCCUUUCACAGGUUUAUGGACUAUCUGAGAAACAGCAUGCUAAAUACACAAAGUAUGCUUCCGAGACUUACAGAAAGUGUACAACCCCAGAACCCAAUCAUAUUCAGGUUCCCCCAAAGGAUGUGAGGAUAAGAAUCUCUCAGUUCUCUGUGAAUUAUUAGUAAUUAGAUAAUACCACAAGUGUUUAAUUGUUCACAAUUAAUUCCUGUGGGAAUGGGGAAAUUACUCUCCUUAUAUCAGCAGCGAGAGAUGCUUAGACCAAGGACAGAUUCUAUUUGGUUUUAUUUUAUUUGAUCCUCAGAAUUUUAUUUCUUGGAUUAUUGUCGAUGUCCAGUGAAUAACUCUCCCUCCAACCUCAGUUAGCCAUUCCCUUUGCUGCAUACAUACACCUUCAGGAUAUUUUUAAUUUUAAAAGUAUGUAAUUAGAGUAUUUUAUAUACUCUCUAAAGGAACAACAGCACAGCAAAGUUACUUUUUUACUGCAUGUGGCUGCUAGAUCUGGAGGGCAAUUCAUGGUAUCAACAAGAUUCCCCAGCUCUGACUUAGAGAAUGUGGGCUCUGAUAAGAUGGAGUCUCACUCUUGCCCAGGCUGGAGUGCAGUGGCAUGCUCUUGGCUCAUGGAAACCUCUGCCUCCCACGUUCAAGUGAUUCUCAUGCUUCAGCCUCCCCAGUAGCUGGGAUAACAGAAAAUCCCCCUGAGAAGAAGGCAGACCUUCCCUCCAGGGAGGUCAAGGAGGAUUGCACUGAUUCACUUCAUGCAAACAGCUUCCUGGGGAGGGAGCUUUUGCUCUCCCUGCUGUGUGGAGAGAUUGAGGAGCCUCCAAGGCUUGGCAGCAGUGGCAGAAACUGACAGUCCAAGAUGAACAAGAAAAACAAUUUACACCCUUUAAAAAACUUGAAUGAAAGUUUAAGUAUGUUAAAGAAAGAGCUGACAAGCAUAGCAGGACAGCCAUCCCCUGAGAGAUAGGAGAGGAGGAGAAACAGCUCAGCAGGGGCCUGGAGCAGCUGGCUGGCGUCAGUAAUUUCCUGCAGGAGACUCUGCCGGCCGAGGACACAUCACCCUUCUGUUGCUCCUCUGUGUUCUCCCUUGUGCUACUAAAAUAAGCUAAUGUAACUCUUGGGCUGUGCUAAGCUAAAUGCAGUUAUUUAACCUCAUCUCUAUGGAACCCAGGUCUAAAGCAGCAGCAUCUAUUUGGAACAAGAUGGGGAGGAGGUAAGCCCCAAACAUUCCUGAGCAGCAGGAAAACAAAUUACCAAGUUUCUCUUUCUGCACAGAAGAGCCGUCUGGGUCCUUGCUGGAGACCACUGACUUUUACUUAACACGUAGGUCUAGCUUGGUGAACUGCUUUCUGACACCUGAACAGAUCGGAAGCAGGGAAUUGAAGGUGAGGAAAGACUGCCACAAGCAGGAGCCAAGAGUUAAGAGCCAAACCAAGGUAGUGACAUUCAUGGGGACAACUGUGGGUGGGAAUCCUACCCAAAGGGGGAUGUUGGAUGAAUUGCUCCUAAGGCUCCUUCCAACUUUUCAGUUCAUGGCUCUGAGUGUCCCUGGUUUGACUGUGAUGGUGAAGGCAGAGAAGAGGGAGAGGGAAACCUCUGUGGGGAGCUGGUACCCAGCAGGAAGUGUGGCUCUCUGUGUUUGGAGAAGGCCCUGAGUUUUAGUGCUCAGGAGUACUUGCCUGCUUUUGCUGGAGUCCUCUGGGCUAAAUAUGUGCUCUCGACCUCCACUUUUUUUUUUGGCCAGCAAGAGCGAAUUCGUGCUCUUCGUCAUGAAGGUGGAUGUUUCUGGAAGAAAUUUUGUGAUGUCCUUUGCAGAGACAUGGAUGGAGUUGGAAGUCCUUAUCCUCAGCAAACGAAUGCAGGAACAGAAAACCAAACACUGCAUGUCCUUACUUAUUAGUGGGAGCUGAAUGAUGAGAACACAUGGAUACUUGUGGGGAAAGCACACACACUGGGGCCUAUCGGACCUGUGGGGUUGUGGGGAAGGGGAGAGACUCAGGAAGAAUGGCUAAUGGAUGCUGGGCUUAGUAUCUAGGUGAUGGGAUGAUCUGUGCAGCAAACCACCAUGGCAGAUGUUUACCUGUGUAACAUACCUGGACAUCAUGCACAUGCAUCCCGGAACUUAAAAUAAAAGUUGAAGAAAAAAAAGAAAAUGUUUUGUGAAGUCUGGAGGUGUAACGUACAGACAUGGGCUAGGGUGAGACAGGCCCAUGUUCAGAUCCUUGCUUCCUCAGUAAGCUAGUGGGGAGACUGGUGAAAUCACUGAACCUCAGUUUCUCCACCUGGACAUCUGCCAUAGAAAUGGCACAUCAUGUGUCGUCCUGGCUGUGACCUUCGGUAGCUCAUCACUGCCCUUCUUACUGUUCUCAGGGUAAACUCCUUUCCAGGCAGAAUUGCCAAGACGCCCGGUAAAAUUUGAAUUUCAGAUAAACACUGAAUAAUUUUUUAGUAUAAUGAUGCUCCAAAUAUUGCAUGGGAUAUACUUAACACUAAAAAAAAAUUAUUGUUUAUCUGAAAUUCAGAUUUAAGUGGGCAACCUGCAUUUUAAAAUAAACCUUUAAUUUUAGAAUCAUUUUAGAUUUACAGAAAAAAUUAUAAAGAUAGUACAGAGUUACCACACACCCCACACCCCGUUUCUCCUGUAACUAAUAUCUUACAUCAAGCCAGGUACAGUGGCACAUGUUUGUAAUCCCAGAUUCUCAGGAGGCUGAAGUGGGAGGAUCACUGGAGUCCAGGAGUUCGAGGCUGCAGUGAGUCGUGAUGGUGCCACUGCACUCCAGCCUGAGUGACAGAGUAAGAUGCUGUCUCUUAAAAAGAAAAAAAAUCUUAUGUCAGUAUGAUACAUUUGUCACAAUUAAUGAACUAAGAUUGAUAUAUUAUCAUUUACUAAAGUCCAUACUUCAUUAGAUUUUCUUAGUUUUUUCCUAAUGUCCUUUUCUAUUCCAGGAUCCUGGGCAGGACACUGUAUCACAUAUAGUUGUCAAGUCUCCUUAGCUCCUCUUGGCUGUGACAGUGUCUUAGACUUCCCUUGUUUUUGAUGACCUUGACAGUUUUGAGGCACACUGGUCGAGGGUUUUGUAGAAUCCUCCUUAGUUUGGCCUGUCGGAUGUUUUCCUCAUGAUUAGACUGGGGUAAUGUGUUUUUGGGAGGAAGACCACAGAGGUCAAGAGCCAUUCUCAUCACAUCUUAUUAAGGAUCUGUACUGUCCAUAUGACUUAUCACUGUUGAUGUUGACCUUGAUCACCUGGCUAAGGUAGUGUUCAUCAGGUUUAGCAACUGUGUUUUCAUUUGCUGAAUCUAUACUCAAUUCCAGCCCUGUCAGUCUUUCCUGACCAGACCCUCACUUACUGCUGCAGACAUUUUUCUGUUCCAACCAUAGUGAACUGCUAACAAUUUCCCUAAUGAACUACACUCUGUCUCUCUUACUGCCAGGCCUUAGGGCUUGUUCUUUCCUUUGCCUGGAAUAUUCUACUCCCCCACAACCUCCCAUCCACACCUCCCCUUCAUCUGAUUAACUCACUUUUCAGUUGGGCUUCAGUCUCACUCCCUCCAGGAAGAUUUCCAUUUAGGUCUCACUCCUUCUGGGAAGAUUUCUUGCACCCUACUCUGCCAAGACCAGGUUAGGUGUUGCUUCUCUGCCCUGGUCCUACUCUUGUGAUAUUUACCACCCUGUAGUUAUGAUCUGUUUGCUUCUCUCCCUGACCCCAGUGCAUUCCUGACAUCUUACACAGUGCCUGUUUGAACUCAAUAAAUACUUGCUGAAUAAAUAAAUGGUUAUAUCAGGCACUUCAGGUAAAGCCUUUAACACACUAUCAGCCUUGUAAACAGUGGCUGCUCAGUAAAUGCUUGCUUUUACUGUAGGAAAAAUAAUCUUCCCUAGAUGUGAGCAACUGUAUUAAGUUUGUGCCUGCCCGACACCCGCAGCACAUGCCCCUAGCUGAAGAAGAGAUUCUGAAACAAUGGUCUCCUAGGAUUUCCUGAGAGCCACAGUUAACUGCAUCAAAGUAUCAAUGAGGCCACUUAAUGACAGAGAUGUUGUUGGGCUAAGUAGGCUACUUUCAUUCAGUUUGCAGAUUAAAAAGGUAUCUUUCUCCCAGUGGAGAAACUUUGAAUUACGAACCCCUUGGCCCAGAUUUCCAUAGUUGGGCAUCCUGACCCAUUGUUUUUUAGUGGAAAGGACAAAGGGAUCCAUCCCCUUCUCUUUUUGCUGCCCAUGUACUGACUUGUAAAUGACUUGUGUGCCUAUUGUUGCUUGUCCUUGAUGAUGAGUACACUUAUACGUUGAUGUAUUUAUUAGUGUUUUUCUUUUCACAAAUCCAGUGUAGUUGUGACCCCCACCCCUGAGACCCAAAGGAAGCAGACACCUCAUAGGUGGUCUCAGGAAUCUGUGUUGAACUUUAGGAGUAAUUAUAAUGUCUUUCAUUUCUUAAUACUUCAUGCCAGGUAUUUUAUCUACCUCACCUCUAAUCCUCUCAAUAACCUUGCAUGUUAGGAAUUACUCCCAUAUUCCAAAUGAGAAAGCUAAGGUUUAGGGUGCUUAAGAAAUUUUCCCAAAGUUUUUUUUUUUUGGUGGUGGAGCCAGCUUGAAGCUAGGGCUAUAGACUUCAGAGUCUCAGCUCCAUCCUCUCCAUUGUUCAGAAAGUCCUGUAAGAGACAGCCAGCAUCUCCCAAGGGCUCGUGCUCAUUGGAAUGGUUCUUGGGUACAUUCCUCCCUUUGUACCUCACUAGGGAAGACCUCCAUCGGUUGGUGUUUACCCACCUUCUAGAGCCUCCUUCCUGGACUCUCGAUCUCGGAUUCCCCACCCAUAGCACUCUUAGACUGCCAUCGUCCAACUUAGGACUCCAAGAAUGCCCAUUUUCAGCCUUGGAAAUCCUUUGCCUUGCUUCCAGGACCCUAUAGUCUAUUUCUUUCCCAAGCCUUCUCUCCAUGAAUCAGAUUCCUCCUUCCCCAUGAGACUUACACUGACUAGUCCCCUACCCACCUCCCUCUCCUUGGAUCUUCAUGGCACCUAGGUAUGCAAGGCAUAAAGUAGUGUAGAAUGCCCUUCUGGCCUAUGUGGAACCAAAGUAUGGUCCCCUGGGUUUCUAAUAUGGUUUCUCCAUCUGGAUUGACACCUCCUGAACGACAAAAACCUCUUGUUAAAAAAGUUGACUUUAUUGAGGUAUAACAUACAUACACCAAAGUACACCUGUUUAAGUGUUCGGUUUGAUAAGGUUUGACAAACGUAUACACCCAUGUAACCACUGUCACAACCAAGAUCUGGAACAUUUCUAUCACCCCAGAAAUACCUCUGAGCUCCUUUGUACUCAACCCCUCCACCUUCGACCCAGGCAACCACUUGCUGGAUUUCUAUUGCUGUAAUUAGUUUUGCCGGCUCUUGAACUACACAAAAAUGCAGUCACAAAGAGUGUAGUCUUUUGUGUUGGCCUCUUUUGGUUAGCACGAUGUUUUAGAGAUUCCUCCAUACUGUUUAUUUUUUUGUUGUUAUUGCUGAGUUGUUCUCUGGUAGAGCCUAUACUACAACUUGAUUGUCCAUGUUGACUAAAUUUCGGGCUGUUUCACAUUUUUGGCUAUAAUGAAUAAAGUGGCUAUAAAUGUUUACACACAAAUCUUUUGUGAACGUGUUUCAUUUCUCUUGUUUGCAUACUUCAGAGUGAAACUUUUAGGUCAUAUAGCAAAUAUAUGUUCAACUUUGACACUGCCAAACUGUUUCCAAAGUGGUAAUUCCAUGUCACACCCCUAUUAGCUGUGUACAAAAGUUCCAGCUUUUUCAUAUGCUCACCAACUCUCAAUGCUUUCAGUGUUUUAAAUUUUAGUGGGUAUGUAGUUGCAUCUCAUUAUGGUUUUACUUUGCAUUUCCCUGGUGAUCAAAGACGUUGAACAUCUUUUAAGGUGCUCAUUGGCCACUCAUAUCUUUUCUUUUCAAGGUGUCUGCUGAAAAACUUACCUGUUUAAAAUUUUCAAUUUGUCUUUUUAAUUAUUGCAUUAUGGGUUCUUUUUAUAUUUGUAUACACUUCCUACUAGAUAAACGUACUGUGAGUAUUUUCUUCUGGACUGUGGAUUGUCUUUUCACUUGUCUUUUGAAGUCAAGAGGUUUUAAAUUUUGAUGAAAUCCAAUUAAUCAACUUUAAUCAUUUUUCAAUUUAUGGUUAGUGUGUUUUCUGUCAUGUCUGUAAAAUCUUUGUCUGCCCCAAGAUUGUGAAGAUUUUCUCCUAAGAAACUUUAUGUUUGUUUUUUACAUUUAGUUCAGCAUAUCGCCUAUUUGCUGAAUGUUCCAUGUAUACUUGAAAAGAAUAAUAAUCGAUUGUACAUUUCAAAAUAGCUAAAAGAGAAUAAUUAGAAUAUUCUUAAUAUAAGGAAAAGAUAAACAUUGAAGUUAGUGUAUAUCCCAAUUAUCCUGUUUGAUCUUUAUAUAUUAUAUGGGUGUACCAUAUUACCACAUAUACCCUAAAAAUAUGUAGAUCUAUUAUAUAUCAAGUUUUAAAAAGAAUAUGUAUUUUGUACCUGGUGAAUGAAUAUUGUUUAAGUCAGGUUGGUUGACAGUGAUGUUCAAGCCAUCUAUAUUUUUAUUAAUUUUCUGUCUACUUGUCCUAUAAAUUAUUGCAAAGAGUGUUGGAAAAACUUUAAAUUUAUCUGUUUGCUCUUUAAUUUAUGUUCAUUUGUGUUUCAUGUAUUUUGAAGCUGUUAUUAGGCCAAUACCUAUUUUGGUUUGUUCUAUCUUUUUGCCUUGACCUGUUUAUCACUAUGAAAUGUCUGCCUUUAUCUCUGGUAAUAUUCCUUGCCUUGAAGUCUAUUUUGAUAUGAAUAUAGCUUUUCAAGCUAUAUUGUGUGUACAGUGUAUCAUUCCCCCAUACUUUUACUUUUAAACUAUGUUUGUAUAUAUAAUAUUAGUUUUUUGAAGAAUAUAGCUGGGUCUU
This is a non-coding RNA of Callithrix jacchus (white-tufted-ear marmoset), 7511 nucleotides long. The record is from RefSeq and is a predicted model, not a curated record. Lineage: Eukaryota; Metazoa; Chordata; Mammalia; Primates; Cebidae.